Gordonia polyisoprenivorans VH2 is the source of this 375-nucleotide non-coding RNA. It matches the Rfam family "transfer-messenger RNA". Rfam says of the family: Bacterial tmRNA, also known as 10Sa RNA or SsrA, is named for its dual tRNA and mRNA-like properties. The record is from Rfam. NCBI's taxonomy places the organism in Bacteria, Bacillati, Actinomycetota, Actinomycetes, Mycobacteriales, Gordoniaceae.
GGGGCUGAUCGGUUUCGACUCUGUACGCCGAGGCGGGGGAAGCGUGUCGGUGCAGGCCAGAGACCACCGUAUAAGCGUCGCGGCAACCAAUUAAGCGCCGAUAAGAAUCAGCGCGACUACGCCCUCGCUGCCUGACAGCGGGCCCGUAGUCUGUCGGCCCGGACUCUGCUCCCAAGUCCGGUGCCGGCAUCAUCUUUGGGAGCUCACCGUUCGCACCGGUCGCGGGUGCGAAGGGGACAACCAACAGCGACUGGGAUCGUCAUCUCGGCUUGUUCACGUGACCGGGAGAUCCGAGUAGAGACAGAGUGAACUGCACACGGAGAAGCCCCGCCAACCCGACGGAGGACCCGGGUUCAAUUCCCGGCAGCUCCACGG